RNAcentral lists this ribosomal RNA (305 nucleotides) under uncultured bacterium. RNAcentral describes it as "partial 16S ribosomal RNA". It matches the Rfam family "Bacterial small subunit ribosomal RNA", at positions 508 to 809 of the family's 1533-position model. The record is from RNAcentral.
ACAGCAGCCGCCGCGGUAAUACGGAGGAUGCGAGCGUUAUUCGGAAUCAUUGGGUUUAAAGGGUCUGUAGGCGGGCUAUUAAGUCAGGGGUGAAAGGUUUCAGCUUAACUGAGAAAUUGCCUUUGAUACUGGUAGUCUUGAAUAUCUGUGAAGUUCUUGGAAUGUGUAGUGUAGCGGUGAAAUGCUUAGAUAUUACACAGAACACCGAUUGCGAAGGCAGGGGACUAACAGACAAUUGACGCUGAGAGACGAAAGCGUGGGGAGCGAACAGGAUUAGAUACCCCAGUAGUCCCUGUCUCUUAUAA